GACUCUCGGCAACGGAUAUCUCGGCUCUGCAUCGAUGAAGAACGUAGCGAAAUGCGAUACUUGGUGUGAAUUGCAGAAUCCCGUGAACCAUCGAGUCUUUGAACGCAAGUUGCGCCCGAAGCCAUUAGGCCGAGGGCACGCCUGCCUGGGUGUCA
RNAcentral lists this ribosomal RNA (155 nucleotides) under Glycine max (soybean). RNAcentral describes it as "rRNA 5_8S_rRNA". It matches the Rfam family "5.8S ribosomal RNA". From Rfam's summary of the family: 5.8S ribosomal RNA (5.8S rRNA) is a component of the large subunit of the eukaryotic ribosome. It is transcribed by RNA polymerase I as part of the 45S precursor that also contains 18S and 28S rRNA. Lineage: Eukaryota; Viridiplantae; Streptophyta; Magnoliopsida; Fabales; Fabaceae. The record is from RNAcentral.